This 253-nucleotide ribosomal RNA is filed under the name uncultured bacterium. RNAcentral's name for it is "partial 16S ribosomal RNA". It matches the Rfam family "Bacterial small subunit ribosomal RNA", at positions 524 to 776 of the family's 1533-position model. The record is from RNAcentral.
UACGUAGGGGGCAAGCGUUGUCCGGAUUUACUGGGCGUAAAGAGCGCGCAGGCGGUCGAUCAAGUCGAGUGUGAAAGCCCCCGGCUCAACCGGGGAGGGUCAUUCGAUACUGAUCGACUCGAAGGCAGGAGAGGGUAGUGGAAUUCCCGGUGUAGUGGUGAAAUGCGUAGAUAUCGGGAGGAACACCAGUGGCGAAGGCGACUACCUGGCCUGUUCUUGACGCUGAGGCGCGAAAGCUAGGGGAGCAAACGGG